Molecule: ribosomal RNA, 254 nt
Filed under: uncultured bacterium
Lineage: Bacteria
Description: partial 16S ribosomal RNA
Rfam family: Bacterial small subunit ribosomal RNA
Source: RNAcentral
UACGGGGGGAGCAAGCGUUGUUCGGAUUUACUGGGCGUAAAGGGCGCGUAGGCGGCCACCGCAAGUCAAUUGUGAAAUCUCCGGGCUUAACUCGGAACGGUCAAGUGAUACUGUCGGACUAGAGUACAGAAGGGGCAACUGGAAUUCUCGGUGUAGCGGUGAAAUGCGUAGAUAUCGAGAGGAACACCUGCGGCGAAGGCGGCUCUCUGGGACGGUACUGACGCUGAGACGCGAAAGCGUGGGGAGCGAACAGG